RNAcentral lists this ribosomal RNA (347 nucleotides) under Acinetobacter baumannii. RNAcentral describes it as "partial 23S ribosomal RNA". It matches the Rfam family "Bacterial large subunit ribosomal RNA", at positions 756 to 1101 of the family's 2925-position model. Lineage: Bacteria; Pseudomonadati; Pseudomonadota; Gammaproteobacteria; Moraxellales; Moraxellaceae. The record is from RNAcentral.
GUAACACUAACUGGAGGACCGAACCCACUGUCGUUGAAAAGCCAGGGGAUGACUUGUGGAUAGGGGUGAAAGGCUAAUCAAGCCUGGUGAUAGCUGGUUCUCCCCGAAAGCUAUUUAGGUAGCGCCUCGGACGAAUACCAUAGGGGGUAGAGCACUGUUUCGGCUAGGGGGUCAUCCCGACUUACCAAACCGAUGCAAACUCCGAAUACCUAUGAGUACUAUCCGGGAGACAGACUGCGGGUGCUAACGUCCGUAGUCAAGAGGAAAACAAUCCAGACCGCCAGCUAAGGCCCCAAAAUCAUAGUUAAGUGGGAAACGAUGUGGGAAGGCAUAGACAGCUAGGAGGU